AUUGGUGAUAAUAGCGAAGGGGAUACACUCGUUCCCAUCCCGAACACGAUAGUUAAGCCCUUCAGCGCCGAGGAUAGUAAGUUUAAUUCUUGCAAAAGUAGGACAUUGCCAUAC
This 114-nucleotide ribosomal RNA is filed under the name Bacillus thuringiensis. RNAcentral also lists the same sequence under 1 other name. The record is from RNAcentral. Lineage: Bacteria; Bacillati; Bacillota; Bacilli; Caryophanales; Bacillaceae.